Long non-coding RNA from Xiphophorus couchianus (Monterrey platyfish), 4691 nucleotides. RefSeq lists it as uncharacterized. NCBI's taxonomy places the organism in Eukaryota, Metazoa, Chordata, Actinopteri, Cyprinodontiformes, Poeciliidae. The record is from RefSeq and is a predicted model, not a curated record. The transcript is spliced from 3 exons.
AAAACAUAGCACAGACAAGACAGACAGGAUAAUCAAUCACGUGAGUUCAAAACACACACUCUCUCUGUCGCGCGCGCGCGCUCGUAAGCAACACACACGCACAAACACGCGAGCGCUCUCCUCCUCAUGUCUGCUGGCUGUGUCUGUUUGCGGGAGUCAUAAAUCAAUGCUGCGCUGCCAGACAGCCUAACGCGGAGCCGAAGAGAGAAAUGGAGCAGCGGUACAAUCUCCACCACGCUCUGCUACACUUUUUCUCCAGCGCCAGGCCGAGUGACAGAGGACAGAUAAUGCUAGGAGUUCCUCCGUGUUUGUGUGUGUCCUCGUCGCCGUGGCGAACACGACUCCCGUCCCACUAAUGUUAGGCAGCGGUGCUGCAUCAUGUGUGACCUCAUUAUGCCCCCCACUCCCUUUCUUUCCUGCUUCCAAUCACGCUGGUAGCAAAAACGUGGCGUCUGCGUUUUCCGCUCCGGCCCUCCGCUCGAGCUCGUGAGUCUGCCGUUUUCACAGCCCGUGAUUCAGCGCCCACGAGCGCCGGCGUCACACCGCUCAGCUCGAUAGCAGCUGUCCGGUUUACCCCAGUAAUUAACACCCAGGCUCAUAUUGCUCCAGUAAAUCACGCAGGAACAUUUCAGCUUACGUGCGACAGCAGCUCCAGGAAAAGAGCCCGAGAAACAGGUGCGACAGGCAGGUGGAGUCCCAGCAGCUGCAGCUCAUCAAACUCAUCAAGGUGGAGCUGAACGAGGAGCUGGAUCCCUCUGACUGACACCAGGUCAUUUGCUCAUGCUGAACGUCCAUAGAUCCAUCCUGGCCUGUUUAAAGAAGAAUCGAUCACCUUUGAAGCUUUAAGUGGCCUCAACAUCCAAAACGGACGGGAUACAUAAAGGAGACGGGGACUUGGCCGAAUGGAUGCGGCGCAUUCGAAUGAAGCCUCCCUGCAAUCAGAGAUCAGAUUAGAGGUCAGGAUUUGGUCAGAGCACAACCCAGAUCCGCAGAGGAGACAGCUGUUAGCCGUGACAGAUGAGGGGGAGCCGACAAGAGGCAGGGUCGCACAACAGAGAGGCAGACAGGGAUCAAAUCAACUAAGUGAGCGCGGGAGAGGACGGGCCGGGGAAGAAGGAAGUGAGGAUGACAAGGUGCAUGCAGAGGAAGUGCAUGUGGGGAGAUAAGAUAGUGCAGAUGAAACCAGAAGGGGAGGACGGAGAAGAAGAAAGGUAAUUUGAGAGAGCGCAGUAGAGGAGGUUGAGGCAGGGCUGACAGUGGGCCAUUCAUCCUCCAUGCUAGAGGAGACAAACUGCUGGCAGAGGAGGACAGGCCCCAUAAAUCACUCCGGAGCACACACAGGCACACACAGAGUAAAACUCAGCCAUGACCACACACACACCCACGAGAACUAAAAGUACACACCUCCUACAGCUUAUUUGGCCAGGCCAGGUUCUCCUUUUACUUUCUGGAUGUGUUUCUAUCCGCAGGUCUCUCUGCUCUUAAAUUCAGUUCUAGGUAGUUUUAGAAGUGGGUAUGUGGUGAAGAGACUCAACAUAUUCCCUGAAUCCUCCAGCCUUCAGUAAGUAACAGUCUAUGUAUGUUCUGAGGAUUAUCCAGAGCCAAUAUGUGAAAACUGGAUAACAUUUUUAGUUUUAGUUUGUUCAGAAGAACAUGUAAAGAAUGUUCUCUGAAGCUGUGUUUCCAUUAUUAAUGUGUGGAAAUCUUUGUCGAUACUCAACAUGUUUGAAUAACACACACAAUUUUCUUAUGAACUGUGCUAUACUAUGAGCUGCACAUUGUCUGAAAAAAAAAGAAAAAGGAAAACGAACCAUCAUCCUCCUACCACUUCCUGUCGUCGUCUUUGUUGUUUCCACCAGUAGUAACAUCCAGUUGACUCGUGUGCUGUGAAAGAGUCUCCAUUGCACCAUUGUGAAAUGCAUCUUUUACAUUGUGGCCAAAACAGCCACCUCAUCCGAGCGCAAAAUCCUUUAGCGAAAAAUGUGUUCUUCUGAAAUUGCCAUGUUUCCACUAAGCAAAUUUAUUUUCAUAAUUUCAAUUUGCGCAAUGCUAGCGUUAAUGGAAACACAGUCAGAGAAAGAACUCAGUUUACAGUUUUUCUUUUAAUUUAGGUCUAGAAACUGAGAUGGUGGUGAUUUUUGACUUCUGCGUCGACUUUGACAUAUUUUCAAUUGUCUCCUUUGCAGAAAGACCCAAUGAAGACCCAUUUAUAGCUGUACGGUAGAGUCCACCAGAUUGCCAAUGAAACUGUUCUGGUUUUCCACUGAGCUCAGUGAAGGUUUGGAUCUUGGCUGCUGAAUUUUUGUACCUCUGGUACUUGUUUUUUAACUGAUUAUUUCCAGUAAAGAACUAUUCUUUGUUUCUUUGUUCAGUGAGCAAUUAAAGCUAUUUCCUUUCAUUUCAACCUGCAUGGUUUUUUGUUUCCUAAAAUAGUUUUCUGCAAAAAGACCAAACACUAUCUGACGCAGCCUGACAUAGGCUAAAGUUUUAUCUAACAUUAAUAACCCUUUCCUGUUCUUAAGAAUGAGCAUAUACUCUCUGGUUCAAAUUUGUGCCAUUACUGAAUUAUUCAGAUUUAAAAACUUAUUUCUGUUAUCACUUUAUAUCCACUUGCUACAGUUAGUUUGUGCUUUUAGUCGUAAAGCUCUUUUACUGUUUUUGCAGCUCUAUUUCUGUCUGCUAGGAAUUUGAUGUAACCUUUGGAUUUUCCGCUCGGGGUCCGGUAAUACUCUGCUGGCGGUUGGCUCUCAUUCCCUCCGUCUCUCUGCGGCUGCGGCUGGCAGCUCGGACCGAUCCGCUCGCUCUGUGUGGGUUCUGCCUGUCUCAAACCUCCUGCUUCCCUCCUCCGCCCACUGAUGGUGAGGAGUGCCAGUUCCUCUUCGCCUAGCCUCGCCUUGACCCCCGCGCUGACACACACAGUGUGUUUUGACAGCGAGCCACACUCUGAACACGCCGGUAGGUCAGGUCAGGGAGUGGCUCCCCUCGUGUUUUCACUGGAGUAGAGGAUGGACACUUUGUUGUUAUUCCAGAGGUUAUUGAGCUCAUUCCUUUCAGGAACAAUUAAUUAAACGGGAUAAGGAUGCGGCUCAUUUGGUGGCACAAGAAAAAUCUGCGUCUGAUCUGCUCUAAAUUAAAUUUGGAUCUUUCUGGAAACGUAUUAAUUUUUAAAAAAUCACACCAAGAUUUUAAAAAAUCAUGAACACAAACACUGGGUUGUUUGAUUCAAAUUUGUUGAGUCUUAAAGUAGGAGCAACGCUCUGGAUUUAUAUGAACCUUUAUAUCAUUUUGAAGACACAGUGUCCAGCUGAAAGUUGGCAUACAUCUUGAUUGUUUACACAUUUUGUCAAUUACAACCAUAAGCCUCUUUGUAUUUUACCAGGGUGUCGUAUAACAGUUGCUAUAUGAGCUGCCAGUCAGUUUGUUCACAUCUUAUCAUAGAUUAGCUCUUUGUUCACACUCUAUGUUAAUAGAUGGCAGAAACGCUCCUUUUGUUGUUUUACAACCACUAUUUAUAAUUAUUUUAUAAUUUGAUUUUUUUUCCUCUUAAUAAUAGGACAUUACAUAUUUAACAUUUAUAUGUAAAUACAGGAAAUUAUAGCCAAGAGACUAGUUUCCAUUCUUAGUCCCAUUGACUGGUUGUCUGAUGCUUAAUAAGAAAAAUCAGCUAAAAACCUUAAUAAAGGAGAAAAGUGGGUAAUUAAGCAGUUGUUUGGAAUUUGUAGUCUGUAAAGGUUAAAUAACUUUUACUUUAGACCAAGUAAGUUGAAUAGACUUACCAUAAAGACGCUAAAAUUACAUUUGUACACAUUUAAGCUAGGCUAAGCUAAACAUGCUAAUCGCUUGAUUAGAAAACCACUGUAACAAAUGAAUCUACUACACUGUUUUGGUAUCCUAAAAGGAUACAUGUUUUUUUUUUUUUUGAUAAAUAGUUUUGUUGUUUAAGUUUUGACCCACGGGUCACUAUAAUCUAAAACUGCAUUUAGAUGAAAUCACAAUUUUCACGUGCUGCCCUUCUACAGUUUGUUCCCCUGCCUGGCCCUCCAAAGGAAAAAAAUCUAGACACAUCCAUGGAUCUGCAAACACAACUGUGCACCCAUUCUUCUUAAAUUUAGACAACUAUGAGCACAAAGUACAUAAGGUGUGAUUGGAUAAUUAAAUUUUGGAAAACGAGGGACGUUUUAUUUCCAUGUUAUGUCCCGUCUCUCGCUUUCACAGUCGUGUCCAGAGCAUUAAACAUCUUGUACUUGGCUAUAGUUUAAUGUGAGUAGGUUUGUAUGUGUGCAACUUGUUUACAACAAACAGUAAAUCCUGUGUGUGUGACCCGGGUCGUGCUUUAUGUAACCUUGAAACAACUUCUCCUCCAGCAGCAGCGUGGGGAGUAAAUGUGAAUCACAUUUACAGCCUUGCAAACAGUAGAGGACAUUGUGUUAAAUGUGCAGCGUGCCGUAUUAGGGCUGCACUGCUAUAAGCACAGGAAGUUAGCUUGACGAGCAAAAAUAUUCACACACCUUGAACUUAUUCACAAGAUACUUCAAUGUAUUUUAUUAUAAACAAUACAUAGUUUUAAAAAAUAGACCCAGAAAGUCAACAAACAGGUGAAGGAUGAUGAAGUUAUGGAGCUGGAUUUGACAAAAUAAAACCAAAUGAAAUAAAAAUCUGAAUCUGAAAAGUAGUUCGACAUUUUUUCAGGU